Molecule: ribosomal RNA, 966 nt
Filed under: Staphylococcus sp.
Lineage: Bacteria; Bacillati; Bacillota; Bacilli; Caryophanales; Staphylococcaceae
Description: bacterial SSU rRNA
Rfam family: Bacterial small subunit ribosomal RNA
Source: RNAcentral
AUACUGCAAGUCGAGCGACAGACGGGGAGCUUGCUCCCCCGACGUUAGCGGCGGACGGGUGAGUAACACGUGGGUAACCUACCUAUAAGACUGGAAUAACUCCGGGAAACCGGGGCUAAUGCCGGAUAACAUGUUGGACCGCAUGGUCCUACAGUGAAAGACGGUCUUGCUGUCACUUAUAGAUGGACCCGCGCCGUAUUAGCUAGUUGGUAAGGUAACGGCUUACCAAGGCAACGAUACGUAGCCGACCUGAGAGGGUGAUCGGCCACACUGGAACUGAGACACGGUCCAGACUCCUACGGGAGGCAGCAGUAGGGAAUCUUCCGCAAUGGGCGAAAGCCUGACGGAGCAACGCCGCGUGAGUGAUGAAGGCCUUCGGGUCGUAAAACUCUGUUAUUAGGGAAGAACAAAUGUGUAAGUAACUAUGCACGUCUUGACGGUACCUAAUCAGAAAGCCACGGCUAACUACGUGCCAGCAGCCGCGGUAAUACGUAGGUGGCAAGCGUUAUCCGGAAUUAUUGGGCGUAAAGCGCGCGUAGGCGGUUUCUUAAGUCUGAUGUGAAAGCCCACGGCUCAACCGUGGAGGGUCAUUGGAAACUGGGAAACUUGAGUGCAGGAGAGGAAAGUGGAAUUCCAUGUGUAGCGGUGAAAUGCGCAGAGAUAUGGAGGAACACCAGUGGCGAAGGCGACUUUCUGGUCUGCAACUGACGCUGAUGUGCGAAAGCGUGGGGAUCAAACAGGAUUAGAUACCCUGGUAGUCCACGCCGUAAACGAUGAGUGCUAAGUGUUAGGGGGUUUCCGCCCCUUAGUGCUGCAGCUAACGCAUUAAGCACUCCGCCUGGGGAGUACGACCGCAAGGGUGAAACUCAAAGGAAUUGACGGGGACCCGCACAAACCGGUGGAGCAUGUGGUUUAAUUCGAAGCAACCCGGAAAAACCUUACCAAAUCUUUGACCUCCUUUGCCCC